This 31-nucleotide non-coding RNA is filed under the name Homo sapiens (human). The record is from RNAcentral. Lineage: Eukaryota; Metazoa; Chordata; Mammalia; Primates; Hominidae.
AGGGGUCUGCCUUCAUGAAUGGAUUAAUGCC